AGUGAACGCUGGCGGUAGGCCUAACACAUGCAAGUCGAACGGCAGCACAGUAAGAGCUUGCUCUUACGGGUGGCGAGUGGCGGACGGGUGAGGAAUACAUCGGAAUCUACUUUUUCGUGGGGGAUAACGUAGGGAAACUUACGCUAAUACCGCAUACGACCUACGGGUGAAAGCAGGGGAUCUUCGGACCUUGCGCGAUUGAAUGAGCCAAUGUCGGAUUAGCUAGUUGGCGGGGUAAAGGCCCACUAAGGCGACGAUCCGUAGCUGGUCUGAGAGGAUGAUCAGCCACACUGGAACUGAGACACGGUCCAGACUCCUACGGGAGGCAGCAGUGGGGAAUAUUGGACAAUGGGCGCAAGCCUGAUCCAGCCAUACCGCGUGGGUGAAGAAGGCCUUCGGGUUGUAAAGCCCUUUUGUUGGGAAAGAAAAGCAGCAGGUUAAUACCCCGCUGUUCUGACGGUACCCAAAGAAUAAGCACCGGCUAACUUCGUG
Molecule: ribosomal RNA, 492 nt
Filed under: uncultured bacterium
Lineage: Bacteria
Description: partial 16S ribosomal RNA
Rfam family: Bacterial small subunit ribosomal RNA
Source: RNAcentral